This 253-nucleotide ribosomal RNA is filed under the name uncultured bacterium. RNAcentral's name for it is "partial 16S ribosomal RNA". It matches the Rfam family "Bacterial small subunit ribosomal RNA", at positions 524 to 776 of the family's 1533-position model. The record is from RNAcentral.
GACGUAGGGGGCAAGCGUUGUCCGGAAUCAUUGGGCGUAAAGAGCGUGUAGGCGGCUCGAUAAGUCCGCUGUGAAAGUCCAGGGCUCAACCCUGGGAUGCCGGUGGAUACUGUCGGGCUCGAGUCCGGAAGAGGAGUGUGGAAUUCCUGGUGUAGCGGUGGAAUGCGCAGAUAUCAGGAGGAACACCAAUAGCGAAGGCAGCUGGCUGGGACGUUACUGACACUAAGGCGCGAAAGCGUGGGGAGCGAACAGG